Molecule: long non-coding RNA, 350 nt
Filed under: Rattus norvegicus (Norway rat)
Lineage: Eukaryota; Metazoa; Chordata; Mammalia; Rodentia; Muridae
Description: long non-coding RNA NONRATT018814
Source: RNAcentral
GAAAUGAUGGAACUCUACAAAAAUGUUUUGUUGAAGAUUCAAAAGAGACUGAAACAAAAAAGCUGGGUAGUGGAAAGUGACAGCUGUGGAAAGAAAGAUUGAGGGGACCAUUCCUCGGGUCUCUGAUUGCCAUGCAGAGGGCCACAUUCAAAUGAUCUUUGCAAGCAAGAACAUUAACAGAAUGGACUGGCAAGAUGGCUCAUUGGGGAAAGAAAAGCACCAGAUUUCUCACUGGAAGCAUCAGUAGCUGAGGUGAAAGAAUAUAUAACAAAGUUUUCUUUAGAGCGUCAGGCCUGGGAUCGGCUCUUACUGCAGUACCAGAACGAGGUUCCACCUGAAGAGAUGCCCAG